Small nucleolar RNA from Dioscorea cayenensis subsp. rotundata (Guinea yam), 107 nucleotides. Lineage: Eukaryota; Viridiplantae; Streptophyta; Magnoliopsida; Dioscoreales; Dioscoreaceae. The record is from RefSeq and is a predicted model, not a curated record.
AAACCAUGACGUAGGCACUCUCACAAGAGUUCCUUGAAACUCUCCUAAGCUUUAAACAAUGUUUUUGAAUCCCUUUGAUAAAAUACAAAAAUCUCUUGCCUUAAUUU